RNAcentral lists this ribosomal RNA (599 nucleotides) under Citrobacter koseri. Its description in RNAcentral is "bacterial SSU rRNA". It matches the Rfam family "Bacterial small subunit ribosomal RNA", at positions 51 to 641 of the family's 1533-position model. The record is from RNAcentral. Lineage: Bacteria; Pseudomonadati; Pseudomonadota; Gammaproteobacteria; Enterobacterales; Enterobacteriaceae.
ACACAUGCAGUCGACGGUAACAGGAAGCAGCUUGCUGCUUUGCUGACGAGUGGCGGACCCUUGUAAAAUGUCUGGGAAACUGCCUGAUGGAGGGGGAUAACUAUUGUAAACGGUAGCUAAUACCGCAUAACGUCGCAAGACCAAAGAGGGGGACCUUCGGGCCUCUUGCCAUCAGAUGUGCCCAGAUGGGAUUAGCUUGUUGGUGGGGUAACGGCUCACCAAGGCGACGAUCCCUAGCUGGUCUGAGAGGAUGACCAGCCACACUGGAACUGAGACACGGUCCACACUCCUACGGGAGGCAGCAGUGGGGAAUAUUGCACAAUGGGCGCAAGCCUGAUGCAGCCAUGCCGCGUGUAUGAAGAAGGCCUUCGGGUUGUAAAGUACUUUCAGCGGGGAGGAAGGUGUUGUGGUUAAUAUUUUUAGCAAUUGACGUUACCCGCAGAAGAAGCACCGGCUAACUCCGUGCCAGCAGCCGCGGUAAUACGGAGGGUGCAAGCGUUAAUCGGAAUUACUGGGCGUAAAGCGCACGCAAGCGGUCUGUUAACUCAGAUGUGAAAUCCCCGGGCUCAACCUGGGAACUGCAUCUGAUACUGGCAGGC